AGGUUUGCUUUUAACUAUGAGGGGUUCUAUGCAAACUUUGAAAUGCCUUUUUACUUCAUAUUUGAAAAUGUGUAUGUCUGUGCAUUCGUAAUGUGGGAGAUGGUAAAGGUUCUCACCUGCAUUAAAACUAAGUGCUCUGUAGGCUGCUGCUGUGAUCUAUGAAAUGGAAAUUUUGACACUAUUGUCAAGU
RNAcentral lists this long non-coding RNA (190 nucleotides) under Microtus ochrogaster (prairie vole). RNAcentral's name for it is "DAOA antisense RNA 1 conserved region 1 (ENSMOCG00000010625.1)". It matches the Rfam family "DAOA antisense RNA 1 conserved region 1". Lineage: Eukaryota; Metazoa; Chordata; Mammalia; Rodentia; Cricetidae. The record is from RNAcentral.